Long non-coding RNA from Manis pentadactyla (Chinese pangolin), 865 nucleotides. RefSeq lists it as uncharacterized. The transcript is spliced from 3 exons. Lineage: Eukaryota; Metazoa; Chordata; Mammalia; Pholidota; Manidae. The record is from RefSeq and is a predicted model, not a curated record.
CUGGGAGGGGCUGCAGAUGUCAAAGCCACAGAAUACAGAAAACAAGCCAUGAUUAAUAUGUCUGAAGGGUAAGUAGCACUAGAUCUCAGACCUUGUGCCUCAUGAUAAUACUGGACUACCUUAUUCUGGGAACACACAGGCAGCUGGGAGUCGUGCUGGAUGGCACGGAGGCUGUGGAUGAAGAGGCUCCCAGCACUUGGGGUGCCCAAGCAUCGAGGAGCCGGGCCUGAAAAGCAGCAACAACUGGCAGGUAGAACAAGCCAGGGCUACAGGAGCCUUGGGUGAGAAGACGUGGUGCAGAGCCUGGGAGAUGCCAGGGACGGUGGUCUCAUGGUGCUCUCAGGGACACCUCUCAGUAGGCAAUGCGAAGCUUUGACGUGAGUCCUCAGCCAGGCGCUGCCUCAGACCCCAGGUCCCGGCGGCCUCGUUGUGCCUGCGGCCUCUCCAUCCUGCAAGUUCAGCUGCUUUCGGGUGCAAGAUGGUCUGGCACAGCAAAGCCCGCUGGGGAGGCCCACAGCUCCACGUCCAAGAUGCAAGCGAACGCAGCAAUCAAUCAAGAAAUACAGCUGCCACCACCACUUUCCGUCUGACAAGUGUUAUUCAUAGAGCACAGCAGGUCUGGGGGCGACUGGCUGAGGUGGCGCAGCCAGCUGGAAUUUGAUAAUUUGGAGUCAAAGCGGCUGGAGCUUGCGGUGGGAGCUGAGGGUGGGUACAGACACCCAUUGUAGAUGCUCUGGUCCUUAUGUUUUUAAGAACUCUUGAGGCAGGUCAAGUGUACGACUGAACGUGAUGGCCCCAUCCUUGCUUCUACUGUAGAAUCCGGAAAGGAAGACUGGGCUGCGUAGAUGAUUAGCAUCUUCUUUUA